RNAcentral lists this ribosomal RNA (231 nucleotides) under uncultured bacterium. Its description in RNAcentral is "partial 16S ribosomal RNA". It matches the Rfam family "Bacterial small subunit ribosomal RNA", at positions 99 to 334 of the family's 1533-position model. The record is from RNAcentral.
CGGACGGGUGAGUAAUGUCUGGGAAACUGCCCGAUGGAGGGGGAUAACUACUGGAAACGGUAGCUAAUACCGCAUAACGUCGCAAGACCAAAGAGGGGACCUUCGGGCCUCUUGCCAUCGGAUGUGCCCAGAUGGGAUUAGCUAGUAGGUGGGGUAACGACUCACCUAGGCGACGAUCCCUAGCUGGUCUGAGAGGAUGACCAGCCACACUGGAACUGAGACACGGUCCAG